GUGGUCGGUGUACAGGUGGUGCAUGGCUGUCGUCAGCUCGUGUCGUGAGAUGUUGGGUUAAGUCCCGCAACGAGCGCAACCCUUGUCCCGUGUUGCCAGCAGGCCCUUGUGGUGCUGGGGACUCACGGGAGACCGCCGGGGUCAACUCGGAGGAAGGUGGGGACGACGUCAAGUCAUCAUGCCCCUUAUGUCUUGGGCUGCACACGUGCUACAAUGGCCGGUACAAUGAGCUGCGAUACCGUGAGGUGGAGCGAAUCUCAAAAAGCCGGU
Molecule: ribosomal RNA, 270 nt
Filed under: Streptomyces sp.
Lineage: Bacteria; Bacillati; Actinomycetota; Actinomycetes; Kitasatosporales; Streptomycetaceae
Description: partial 16S ribosomal RNA
Rfam family: Bacterial small subunit ribosomal RNA
Source: RNAcentral